RNAcentral lists this long non-coding RNA (364 nucleotides) under Panax ginseng (ginseng). Its description in RNAcentral is "long non-coding RNA (PGIN_LNC016204)". Lineage: Eukaryota; Viridiplantae; Streptophyta; Magnoliopsida; Apiales; Araliaceae. The record is from RNAcentral.
CCUUAGUGGGAGUUGAAUACAGUUAACCCAUGAUUGGGUAACUGACCACAACGCGUCAGUUCCUUUCCUUUAUUAUUAUAUGUAUUCUUUUCUUUUCAUUAUCUGUUAAGUCUGGAAAAGCAAAACAGAGAGGGAGAGAAAGAGAGAGUUUGAGAAUUCAGAGGAAUUGUUGGGAGAUUUUGAUAUUGAAGAAGAAUCAAAAGGGACUUCACUCUUAUUCAUCUGUAAUAGGGUAAUCUCUUCUCGCCAAAUUUUAAAUUACGUUGUUUAAGUUUUCAUAAAAAAAAAUGGAUUCAAGUUUUGUUAAAAACACUGUGAAUGGAAAAGGGUAUGACUAUGGGUUUGUGUAUGUGUUAAGAUGUAU